This 253-nucleotide ribosomal RNA is filed under the name uncultured bacterium. RNAcentral describes it as "partial 16S ribosomal RNA". It matches the Rfam family "Bacterial small subunit ribosomal RNA", at positions 524 to 776 of the family's 1533-position model. The record is from RNAcentral.
UACGUAGGGGGCAAGCGUUGUCCGGAUUUAUUGGGCGUAAAGCGCACGUAGGCGGUCUGUCGCGUCGGCUGUGAAAACCCGGAGCUCAACUCCGGGCCUGCAGUCGAUACGGGCAGACUGGAGUUCGGCAGGGGAGACUGGAAUUCCUGGUGUAGCGGUGAAAUGCGCAGAUAUCAGGAGGAACACCGGUGGCGAAGGCGGAUCUCUGGGCCGAUACUGACGCUGAGGAGCGAAAGCGUGGGGAGCGAACAGG